GACGAACGCUGGCGGCGUGCUUAACACAUGCAAGUCGAACGGAAAGGCCCCUUUGGGGGUACUCGAGUGGCGAACGGGUGAGUAACACGUGAGUAACCUGCCCUUGACUUCGGGAUAACUUCAGGAAACUGGGGCUAAUACCGGAUAGGAAUCCUUGCUGCAUGGUGGGGGUUGGAAAGCUUCGGCGGUUUUGGAUGGACUCGCGGCUUAUCAGCUUGUUGGUGGGGUAGUGGCUUACCAAGGCUUUGACGGGUAGCCGGCCUGAGAGGGCGACCGGCCACAUUGGGACUGAGAGACGGCCCAGACUCCGACGGGAGGCAGCAGUGGGGAAGAUCGCACAAGGGGCGGAAGCCUGAUGCAGCAACGCCGCGUGCGGGAUGACGGCCUUCGGGUUGUAAACCGCUUUCAGCAGGGGCGAAGCUUGUGGUGACGGUACCUGCAGAAGAAGCACCGGCUAACUACGUG
This 465-nucleotide ribosomal RNA is filed under the name uncultured bacterium. Its description in RNAcentral is "partial 16S ribosomal RNA". It matches the Rfam family "Bacterial small subunit ribosomal RNA", at positions 28 to 507 of the family's 1533-position model. The record is from RNAcentral.